This 409-nucleotide ribosomal RNA is filed under the name uncultured bacterium. Its description in RNAcentral is "bacterial SSU rRNA". It matches the Rfam family "Bacterial small subunit ribosomal RNA", at positions 28 to 429 of the family's 1533-position model. The record is from RNAcentral.
GAUGAACGCUGGCGGCGUGCCUAAUACAUGCAAGUCGAACGAGGUGCUUGAGUAGCAAUACGAGAGUAUCCUAGUGGCGAACGGGUGAGUAACGCGUUGGUGACCUACCCCAAAGUGUGGGAUAACAGUCCGAAAGGAUUGCUAAUACCGCAUGUGGUUAUCGGAUUUAGAAACUGAUAUCUAAAGGAGCAAUUCGCUUUGGGAGGGACCUGCGUCCCAUCAGCUAGUUGGUGAGGUAAUGGCUCACCAAGGCUACGACGGGUAGGGGACCUGAGAGGGUGACCCCCCANAAUGGAACUGAAACACGGUCCAUACACCUACGGGUGGCAGCAGUAGGGAAUAUUGCUCAAUGGGCGAAAGCCUGAAGCAGCAACGCCGCGUGUGCGAUGAAGGCCCUUCGGGUCGUAAA